Molecule: transfer RNA, 72 nt
Filed under: Bos taurus (domestic cattle)
Lineage: Eukaryota; Metazoa; Chordata; Mammalia; Artiodactyla; Bovidae
Also listed under: 1 other name
Rfam family: tRNA
About the family: Transfer RNA (tRNA) molecules are approximately 80 nucleotides in length.
Source: Rfam by way of RNAcentral
UCCUUGGUGGCUCAGUCAGUAAAGAAUCUGCCUGCAAUGCAGGAGGCCCAGGUUCGAUCCCUGGGUCAGGAA